This is a long non-coding RNA of Triticum aestivum (bread wheat), 2568 nucleotides long. RefSeq lists it as uncharacterized. NCBI's taxonomy places the organism in Eukaryota, Viridiplantae, Streptophyta, Magnoliopsida, Poales, Poaceae. The transcript has 3 exons. The record is from RefSeq and is a predicted model, not a curated record.
GGUUCCCAUGUUUGAUAUUUUUUUACUUACGCAAAAUUGGUCGAUGCUGAUGAGAAUGGCACCGUCUUCCACACUUAUAUUUUUAAUAUACAAUGUUCCCAAUUUUAUUGUUUUACUUUUUUGGUUCAAUAAGAUUAAGAUAUACACUUUAUCUUGUGCUGAAUCUGAUGUCGUUCAGAUUGUAGGAAUUUUAGGAUGGGUCACAAGUUUCUCUUGUUGGAUGUUUUCUUUCUCUAGGCAAUGCAUGACAUAGAUAUGUACUCAGCUGGACAUGUUGUUGCCGAGUUUGUGUUGAUUUGGCGAGAACCAUCAAUAUUAGUUGACAAAAACCAUCAUGUUAUUAUGCCUCCAUGUUAUAUUUAGAGGCGCAACCAGAUACGAGCCUUCCAAAAUACGGGUCAUCUUGUCUGAUGGUCUCCUCUCCUGCCGUCGCCGCCGCCGGAGAAGCUCGCCUCCGCGCCCACAAGCCUCGGAUUCGGCGGGAUCCAGGACGAGGAGGGGUGGAUGAGACGGGGGAGGAGGAGGAGGAGAGCGUGGGGGCGUCUGGGGAGGAAUAUCCCCGCCGCCUCCUCCGCUCGUGACGCAGGGCCUCGGGCCAUGGGGGCGUUCGUUGCAGGAGCCUCGCCGCUGACCUCCCGUGCGCGGCACCCGGCCCUGGCAGCGCCAAUCUCCCCUUCACACACAGAUCGGGUCGUAGUCGGAGCACAACUAAGGUUGGCGCUGCUCAAGUGUUUGCAGUGCAGCGGGAUCCUCUUCUACAACGGCGAUGACAAGGACUCCGCUCCCAGUUCAGUCUAUCAACUACACACACAACUCCUGGACCUGCCUUCAGAUUUAAGGCAAGCGCUUCAGUACUUCCUUGUGUUGCAUAGUCACUAGACUGGGUUUUCUUUGAUUCUAUGAUUGGUUUGUUUUGAUCGCAAUGUAUGUGUCCACACAAUCAAAAGGAUCAAGAUAGCUUCACAUAGAUUAGUUAAUUGGCCAGGUACAUACGAAGCUGUGAAUCUAAACAGGACGCACCUACAUCACCACACCAAUAUGUUGUGUGUAACACGACCAUUCCUAACAUACCAUGGUUUGCAUGCUGGAUAACCGAUGUGUGUUAAGAUGAGCAGCAGCACGCUCACACAUUAUCUUUGCCGUUGAAAUAACCAUAUUUGUUCUAUGAAGUUUCUGUUAUAUAUCUCUAUGUCCAUGUACUUCUCAAAAGUUACCUUGGAUGAGAAGCAUUGUUUUGCUGGUCUUUGUGAAGACAAGAUAGGAAGAUCCAUGUUCUUGAUCAAUCAAAUAUGGUCAAAACUGUAGUUUUUUCACCAGUGUAAUCUUAUUAAUAACUUCGACCAAAAGUCCUACAAUCUCAUUAGUAAUCAGGUGUGGACAAAUAUGUUUUUAGUCCAGUUUGAUCUAAUAUAUCCUAUUGAAGCGUACUUUGACCAAACGUCCUACAAUCUCAUUAGUAAUUAAUCAGGUGUGGACAAAUAUGUUUUCAAUCCAGUUUGAUAUGAUAUUUUCAAUUGAAGCAACAAAACCAUCGUAUUUGGCUUUCCGUAAGCACCAAGUUAACAAUAAUAGAGUUGAUUAGUAGCUGAUACAGUGCUAUGAAUUUUUAUUAUAGUCGUCGUUGGUAUCAAACUAUCAAAUCAGUUUAUACAGUAGAAACUUGGACAGUGCUAAGAUGGAUUAGCACGUACAGUUGUAAACUACAGAAAAAAGAUUAUUUGUCCAUUAGUCGAUACCAAAUUUGAUCAUAUAUAUUGUUCUAUUGAGCUUAUUAUUGUAAAGUCACCAACAAGUUGAAUCAGCUAUAAGCCUCUCAGAAGGGUAUAGCCGCCUCUGCUUCCGCAUUACAUCUCCAUGUAAGUUUCUAAUGUACGUUCACAUAUAAUUUUGGUUGACAUUAUCUCUUCUGUGAAUUCUGCUUGCAUUUUUUCAGUUGAAACAGUAACCGAAUUUGAUAAGUAUGCAACGAUUUCUGCCCUGCAGCAUGAGUAAAAUGUUAUGAGUUAUCACUUCAGAUAAGUAACCACUAUAUUAUUUUCUCUGUGUAAUUGACCUGUACACAUGUUGUCGCUCUGCUUGAACCAUCGAUCUCUGUAUGUAUUUGAGCUCCUCUCACAGGCUGACUCCUAUGUUCGUGACUGAGCAUGUGUGUGUGUGGCCAUGGGGCAGACUUUAUCUUUGACUGAAUCCUUGCAACAUUUUCCUUUCAGGCCAACGAACAAUAAGAUUCUUCUGACCUUACAUGUCGAAAACCCUUCGGAAGAUUUCGCUGUCCUGAUCCCUGAGGGUUCCGGCUAACCUGAGGAUAUGAUGUACUUUUUCUCUGAAGUAGUAAUAAGGAUUGAUACAACGACGGUGUGGUACCCGAAUGGCUACUUUUAUUGCCUUUCGACAUGCGCAAGUAUUUGAGUAGCAUGUGACUAAUCUUACAGCCCCCCUCCCCUGAUGUUUGGGAUGAAUGUUGUAAAAUGUUUCACAAAUAGAUGAUGGAUUGAUGCAAUGUCUUACCCAAUACAAAAGAAAAUCACCCCGAUAGUCUGAAUGUCAAGCAUUUUAUGUUUCUGUUUA